RNAcentral lists this ribosomal RNA (496 nucleotides) under uncultured bacterium. RNAcentral describes it as "bacterial SSU rRNA". It matches the Rfam family "Bacterial small subunit ribosomal RNA", at positions 28 to 521 of the family's 1533-position model. The record is from RNAcentral.
GACGGACGCUGGCGGCGCGCCUAACACAUGCAAGUCGAACGGAGUUCUUUUGAUGAAGUUUUCGGAUGGAUUCACUUGAACUUGGUGGCGGACGGGUGAGUAACACGUGAGCAACCUGCCUAUCAGAGGGGGAUAACGAUUGGAAACGAUCGCUAAUACCGCAUAACGCAGCGAGGAGACAUCUUCAUGCUGCCAAAGAUUUAUCGCUGAUAGAUGGGUUCGCGUCCGAUUAGAUAGUUGGUGAGGUAACGGCCCACCAAGUCGACGAUCGGUAGCCGGACUGAGAGGUCGAACGGCCACAUUGGGACUGAGACACGGCCCAGACUCCUACGGGAGGCAGCAGUGGGGGAUAUUGCACAAAUGGGGAAACCCUGAUGCAGCGACGCCGCGUGAGGGAAGACGGUCCUCUGGAUUGUAAACCUCUGUCUUCGGGGACGAAACGAGACGGUACCCGAGGAGGAAGCCACGGCUAAACUAACGUGCCAGCCGCCGCCGU